CGGACGGGUGAGUAACGCGUGGGUAACCUGCCUCAUACAGGGGGAUAACAGUUGGAAACGACUGCUAAUACCGCAUAAGCCCACGGCUCGGCAUCGAGCAGAGGGAAAAGGAGCAAUCCGCUUUGAGAUGGCCUCGCGUCCGAUUAGCUAGUUGGUGAGGUAACGGCCCACCAAGGCGACGAUCGGUAGCCGGACUGGGAGGUUGAACGGCCACAUUGGGACUGAGACACGGCCCAG
RNAcentral lists this ribosomal RNA (237 nucleotides) under uncultured bacterium. Its description in RNAcentral is "partial 16S ribosomal RNA". It matches the Rfam family "Bacterial small subunit ribosomal RNA", at positions 99 to 334 of the family's 1533-position model. The record is from RNAcentral.